RNAcentral lists this long non-coding RNA (293 nucleotides) under Fukomys damarensis (Damara mole-rat). RNAcentral describes it as "ST7 overlapping transcript 4 conserved region 3 (ENSFDAG00000015714.1)". It matches the Rfam family "ST7 overlapping transcript 4 conserved region 3". Lineage: Eukaryota; Metazoa; Chordata; Mammalia; Rodentia; Bathyergidae. The record is from RNAcentral.
UGCUUGCCCUUCUUGUGAUGAAGCCAAGUGUGUCCCUGGAGAGGCUGUUGAAUCUAGAACUGCUUUAAGGGGAGUUGUGGGUCUGUAUGUGUCUCCCAUACCAAUCUGGUGAGGCAGAGCUACAGGGUAGCCAGAAGCCAGGGUUUCCAUGACACAGGUCCAGUUCUGCAUGGUAUGAGAUAGAAUCUGGUAAAAUAUUCUGAGUUAUUCUUGGAGAUCUGUACGACAUCUUCAGUAUCUUGAUUACUUGUGGGAAUUUAAAUAAUUUUAACCUCAUUUUAUGCUUGUUUUAU